UGUUAUGUCCGCGUGAAACGACAUUCAAAUAAUAUAGUAAUAUUAUUAUAUAGGAAGUCGAUGACGUUUGUUUUUACGACCAACAACGCCGAACGGAGUUUCAAUAUAGUUAAUUAUUUUAAUUAUUAUUAUCAUAAUGGUUAUUGGAGAACUCAAAUACGCCUUGAGCUACAGUCAUCGUAGUGCUGCACACUUUCUGUGACAAUAAAGAACGAUCGAGCAUGAUACAUGGUAUUGGUUCAAACAGAUAACGAAAACCAAUUUUAUAAUCCAUAUAAAAAGUUGAAUAACCUAGAAAAAUGAUUUUUUGGCUUUUGGUCUACAAUUUUUAAGAAAUCAAAGAUGCAUUUUCGAAUUAAUAAUGAGUUACAGCAAAACAAGCCUUACAACCAUAAGAAGUUUGCGUACACGGCAACAAUAAUUUUUACGCCACAAAAUUGACGACUACUAAGCACAACAAAUGACUAAAAACCAUUAAAAAUGUGUAUUUACUAAGUACUUAUCUAUACUUGACUUUUAUACUAACCGGACAAUUUAUUCAAAAGUUUAUGUAUUUCGACGAGCCACACAUUAAGUAUAAACAUACUGUACAUAUAAAUGUCACUAAUCAU
This is a long non-coding RNA of Melanaphis sacchari, 611 nucleotides long. RefSeq lists it as uncharacterized. The transcript has 3 exons. Lineage: Eukaryota; Metazoa; Arthropoda; Insecta; Hemiptera; Aphididae. The record is from RefSeq and is a predicted model, not a curated record.